CCGUGUGUAGCUCAGUUUGGUAGAGCACUCGGUUUGGAACUGAGGGGUCGCUGGUUCAAGUCCAGCCACACUGACCA
Molecule: transfer RNA, 77 nt
Filed under: Bacteroidota bacterium
Lineage: Bacteria; Pseudomonadati; Bacteroidota
Description: Bacteroidetes bacterium tRNA-Pro
Rfam family: tRNA
About the family: Transfer RNA (tRNA) molecules are approximately 80 nucleotides in length. Their secondary structure includes four short double-helical elements and three loops (D, anti-codon, and T loops). Further hydrogen bonds mediate the characteristic L-shaped molecular structure. tRNAs have two regions of fundamental functional importance: the anti-codon, which is responsible for specific mRNA codon recognition, and the 3' end, to which the tRNAs corresponding amino acid is attached (by aminoacyl-tRNA synthetases). tRNAs cope with the degeneracy of the genetic code in two manners: having more than one tRNA (with a specific anti-codon) for a particular amino acid; and 'wobble' base-pairing, i.e. permitting non-standard base-pairing at the 3rd anti-codon position.
Source: RNAcentral